This 409-nucleotide ribosomal RNA is filed under the name Actinomycetes bacterium. RNAcentral's name for it is "Actinobacteria bacterium partial 16S ribosomal RNA". It matches the Rfam family "Bacterial small subunit ribosomal RNA", at positions 355 to 776 of the family's 1533-position model. The record is from RNAcentral. Lineage: Bacteria; Bacillati; Actinomycetota; Actinomycetes.
UGGGGAAUAUUGCACAAUGGGCGGAAGCCUGAUGUAGCGACGCCGCGUGGGGGAUGAAGGCCUUCGGGUUGUAAACUCCUUUCGACAGGGACGAAGCUUUUGUGACGGUACCUGUAUAAGAAGCACCGGCUAACUACGUGCCAGCAGCCGCGGUAAUACGUAGGGUGCGAGCGUUGUCCGGAAUUACUGGGCGUAAAGAGCUCGUAGGUGGUUUGUCGCGUCGUCUGUGAAAUUCCGGGGCUUAACUCCGGGCGUGCAGGCGAUACGGGCUGACUUGAGUGCUGUAGGGGAGACUGGAAUUCCUGGUGUAGCGGUGAAAUGCGCAGAUAUCAGGAGGAACACCGAUGGCGAAGGCAGGUCUCUGGGCAGUAACUGACGCUGAGGAGCGAAAGCAUGGGUAGCGAACAGG